RNAcentral lists this transfer RNA (65 nucleotides) under Pachydactylus weberi. RNAcentral describes it as "tRNA-Cys". The record is from RNAcentral. Lineage: Eukaryota; Metazoa; Chordata; Lepidosauria; Squamata; Gekkonidae.
CCUCGCGGUGAGGCCACUCCGAAAUGCAAGUUCGGAGACNCGCCCCAACAGAGGCGCCGGGGCUU